GCUCAACCGGGGAGGGUCAUUGGAAACUGGGAAACUUGAGUGCAGAAGAGGAGAGUGGAAUUCCACGUGUAGCGGUGAAAUGCGUAGAGAUGUGGGGGAACACCAGUGGCGAAGGCGACUCUCUGGUCUGUAACUGACGCUGAGGAGCGAAAGCGUGGGGAGCGAACAGGAUUAGAUACCCUGGUAGUCCACGCCGUAAACGAUGAGUGCUAAGUGUUAGGGGGUUUCCGCCCCUUAGUGCUGCAGCUAACGCAUUAAGCACUCCGCCUGGGGAGUACGGUCGCAAGACUGAAACUCAAAGGAAUUGACGGGGGCCCGCACAAGCGGUGGAGCAUGUGGUUUAAUUCGAAGCAACGCGAAGAACCUUACCAGGUCUUGACAUCCUCUGACAACCCUAGAGAUAGGGCUUUCCCUUCGGGGACAGAGUGACAGGUGGUGCAUGGUUGUCGUCAGCUCGUGUCGUGAGAUGUUGGGUUAAGUCCCGCAACGAGCGCAACCCUUGAUCUUAGUUGCCAGCAUUCAGUUGGGCACUCUAAGGUGACUGCCGGUGACAAACCGGAGGAAGGUGGGGAUGACGUCAAAUCAUCAUGCCCCUUAUGACCUGGGCUACACACGUGCUACAAUGGACGGAACAAAG
RNAcentral lists this ribosomal RNA (637 nucleotides) under uncultured bacterium. RNAcentral describes it as "bacterial SSU rRNA". It matches the Rfam family "Bacterial small subunit ribosomal RNA", at positions 607 to 1244 of the family's 1533-position model. The record is from RNAcentral.